GUGCGUCUUCAGGGCGGGGUGGAAAUCCCCACCGGCGGUAGGGUGUCCUCGGACACCGAGCCCGCGAGCGCUUGCCGGCUACCCGGCAAGGUCAGCAGAUCCGGUCCCAUGCCGGAGCCGACGGUCAUAGUCCGGAUGAAAGAAGACGGGA
Bordetella sp. SCN 67-23 is the source of this 151-nucleotide non-coding RNA. NCBI's taxonomy places the organism in Bacteria, Pseudomonadati, Pseudomonadota, Betaproteobacteria, Burkholderiales, Alcaligenaceae. The record is from Rfam.